This 775-nucleotide ribosomal RNA is filed under the name uncultured Neocallimastigales. RNAcentral describes it as "partial large subunit ribosomal RNA". It matches the Rfam family "Eukaryotic large subunit ribosomal RNA", at positions 22 to 649 of the family's 3401-position model. The record is from RNAcentral. Lineage: Eukaryota; Fungi; Neocallimastigomycota; Neocallimastigomycetes; Neocallimastigales.
GUACACGCUGUGACUAGCAUAUCAAUAAGCGGAGGAAAAGAAACUAACAAGGAUUCCCUUAGUAACGGCGAGUGAAGCGGGAAGAGCUCAAAUUUGAAAUCUUCAAGGUUUUACCUUGACGAAUUGUAGUUUAAAGAAGUGUUUUCUGCUGAAGUUUUGGUAAAAGUUCUUUGGAAUAGGACAUCAUAGAGGGUGAGAAUCCCGUAUUUGACCAUUAUUUUCAGCUUUGUGAUACGCUUUCAAAGAGUCGGAUUGUUUGGGAAUGCAGCCCAAAACGGGAGGUAAAUUUCUUCUAAGGCUAAAUAUUGGCGAGAGACCGAUAGCGAACAAGUACCGUGAGGGAAAGAUGAAAAGAACUUUGAAAAGAGAGUUAAAUAGUACGUGAAAUUGUCAAAAGGGAAGCGUUUGACACCAGUGUUGUUUUCUCGAAAAUCAAUUAAAAAUGGCUCGAUUUUGUAUUGCUUGAGACCUUAAAAGCUCACUGUACAUUUUUCGUGUCUUUUUUAAUGCACUUUUCGUUUAACAAGUCAACAUCAGUUUCUUUUGUUGUAAAAGGGUCAUUGGAAGGUGGCUUUCUUUUCGGAGAAAGUGUUUAUAGCCUUUGGCCUCUGCAAUCGAAGAGACUGAGGUCUGCAGCGUAGACUCUUCGGGGUUAGAUACAUUUGUGCUAAGUUAUAGCUUUUUAUAGACAACUUGUUGACUAUAAUUAGUCUUGUAGCUUACUCGCUUAUGCUAUUUUACCUACGCUUAGGAUGUUGAGUAGCGACAUACGCAC